UACGAAGGGUGCAAACGUUGCUCGGAAUUAUUGGGCGUAAAGCGCACGUAGGCGGUUCGUUAUGUCGGAUGUGAAAGCCCUUGGCUUAACCGAGGAAGUGCAUCCGAAACUGGCGAGCUAGAGUACUAAAGAGGAUCGCGGAAUUCCCGGUGUAGAGGUGAAAUUCGUAGAUAUCGGGAGGAACACCGGUGGCGAAGGCGGCGAUCUGGGUAGAUACUGACGCUGAGGUGCGAAAGCGUGGGGAGCAAACAGG
Molecule: ribosomal RNA, 253 nt
Filed under: uncultured bacterium
Lineage: Bacteria
Description: partial 16S ribosomal RNA
Rfam family: Bacterial small subunit ribosomal RNA
Source: RNAcentral